UAAGUACACGCGGCCGGUACAGUGAAACUGCGAAUGGCUCAUUAAAUCAGUUAUGGUUCCUUUGAUCGCUCAUCCGUUACUUGGAUAACUGUGGCAAUUCUAGAGCUAAUACAUGCAAACGAGCGCUGACCCUCCGGGUAUGCGUGCAUUUAUCAGACCCAAAACCCAUGCGGGGCGUCCUCUCGGGGGCGCCCCGGCCGCUUUGGUGACUCUAGAUAACCUCGAGCCGAUCGCUGGCCCUCCGUGGCGGCGACGUCUCAUUCGAAUGUCUGCCCUAUCAACUUUCGAUGGUACUUUAUGUGCCUACCAUGGUGACCACGGGUAACGGGGAAUCAGGGUUCGAUUCCGGAGAGGGAGCCUGAGAAACGGCUACCACAUCCAAGGAAGGCAGCAGGCGCGCAAAUUACCCACUCCCGACUCGGGGAGGUAGUGAC
Molecule: ribosomal RNA, 434 nt
Filed under: Oreochromis aureus
Lineage: Eukaryota; Metazoa; Chordata; Actinopteri; Cichliformes; Cichlidae
Description: SSU rRNA
Rfam family: Eukaryotic small subunit ribosomal RNA
Source: RNAcentral